CCUACGGGAGGCAGCAGUGGGGAAUUUUGGACAAUGGGCGAAAGCCUGAUCCAGCCAUGCCGCGUGCAGGAUGAAGGCCUUCGGGUUGUAAACUGCUUUUGUACGGAACGAAACGGCCUUUUCUAAUAAAGAGGGCUAAUGACGGUACCGUAAGAAUAAGCACCGGCUAACUACGUGCCAGCAGCCGCGGUAAUACGUAGGGUGCAAGCGUUAAUCGGAAUUACUGGGCGUAAAGCGUGCGCAGGCGGUUAUGUAAGACAGUUGUGAAAUCCCCGGGCUCAACCUGGGAACUGCAUCUGUGACUGCAUAGCUAGAGUACGGUAGAGGGGGAUGGAAUUCCGCGUGUAGCAGUGAAAUGCGUAGAUAUGCGGAGGAACACCGAUGGCGAAGGCAAUCCCCUGGACCUGUACUGACGCUCAUGCACGAAAGCGUGGGGAGCAAACAGGAUUAGAUACCCUGGUAGUCCACGCCCUAAACGAUGUCAACUGGUUGUUGGGUCUUCACUGACUCAGUAACGAAGCUAACGCGUGAAGUUGACCGCCUGGGGAGUAUGGCCGCAAGGUUGAAACUCAAAGGAAUUGACGG
RNAcentral lists this ribosomal RNA (585 nucleotides) under uncultured Variovorax sp. RNAcentral describes it as "bacterial SSU rRNA". It matches the Rfam family "Bacterial small subunit ribosomal RNA", at positions 338 to 916 of the family's 1533-position model. The record is from RNAcentral. Lineage: Bacteria; Pseudomonadati; Pseudomonadota; Betaproteobacteria; Burkholderiales; Comamonadaceae.